AAAAGAUGUUCAUUUUGGCUGGGAAGUUUUUUGGAUGCAUACUAAGUUCCUUAGCCUUUUGAAAGAUCACAUUUCAGGCCCUUUGAUCUUUUAAUGUGGACACUGCUAGAUCCUGAGUAAUGAUUAUUGUGGCUCUUCUAGAUUUGAAUUGAUUUUUUUCUAGCAGCUUGCAGUAUUUUUUCCUUCAUCAGAUAGUUCUGGAAUUUGGUCACUCUAUUUCUUGGGGUUUUGAUUUUAGGGUGCCUUUCAGUAGGUGAUGGCUGAAUUCUUUCAAUGUCUAUUUGACAUUCUGUUUCUAUAACAUCUGGGCAGUUCUCUUUGAUCAUUUCCUGGAAAAUAGUGUCUAGGCUUUUUUUUUCAUCCUAUUUUUCAGGAAGUCCAAUAAUUCUCAGAUUAUCUCUCCUACAUCUGUUUUCCAUAUCUGUUGUUUCUUCAAGAAGGUAUUUGACAUUUUUUCCCAUUGUUUCAGUCUUUUGAUUUUGCUUAAGCAAUUCCUGGUGUCUUCUUGAAUCAUUCAUUUCCAUUUCUUCGAUUCUGAUUUGUAAUGAAUUAUUUUCUAGACUCACUUUUUUAUAUCUUUUUCUAUUUGUCCAUUUGAGUUUUUAAGUGAGUUGUUUUGUUCUAUGGAAUUUUUUUCCAUUUCACAAAUUUUGUUUUUUAAAAAGCUAUUUUCUUUUUCCAACUCACUAAUUCUGUUUCUCAAGUAUUUGAUUUUUCUAUUCACUCUAUCUUUAAAUGAGUGGGAUGAUUUAGCCAGUCUCUUGCCAAGCUUUCCUUUCCUUUACCAUUUUUCUUCUAGCUCUCUUAUGAGAGGCUUUUUAAUUUCUUUUAUGAGAGUCUUGUGUGUUGAGGACCAGAUCGUAUCCUCCUCCCACUUUGGGGAUUCAUCUGGAGACAGUCUGUUUUUAGUCUUCUCAGGAUUUUAAAGUCUGCUUUCUAUCCAUAUAGAAGCUAUCAAUAAUUAGAGUGAGGGGGGGAGGCUGCAUGGUAUUACCAAGCUUCCUCUACAGACUGCACGGGGCAGCAGCAAGGCACUAGCAGGACAGCAAUGGCUGCCUUGCAUCUGUGCUCUGAGACUCUGAGAGUGUACUGAGACAUACAGUGCUAGGUGUGGCCAGGUCCCAAGAGAUGCUGGCUUUUCUGGCUUAUAGUCUUUACCUCCUGUGUUUUUAGCUUCUCUCUUUGUCUCCUGGCUUGCUGCCAGGGCAAAGUAGCCAAUACUGUCAUAAAUGUCUCCCUGCAGAAACGUCUGAGAUCACACCCCAUGCACCUCUCGUCUGCUCACCUGUGAGCUGCCUGCCUUACUCUGUCUGCUGUGUUGCCACUGCCUGCCUUCUGUUUGUGCCUGAACUAGCUGUCCUCAUCCCCGAGCAAAACAGACCUUUUCUGCUGCAUUUUGAGGAUAUCUUCUCUUGACCUAGGAACCGCUGCUUGGCAGAAGGCUCUGCCAACAGGUCCUAGGGAAUCCUCAGCCAGAGUCGACCUCACCACAUGGCGCCCUGGUGUGGAAAAGAAAAGUAAACUAACUCAACCACCAGGCUAAAUAUCUGUCCUCCACAGAAUUGGCUCCACUGUCAACAGAAGCUUCCACCAAUGGGCCAAGGUACUCCUCUUCCUCAAUUGACCUUGCUUCUUUAUCAUACAUUGGGUAAAAAAAAAGAAAGAAAACCAAACAGGCAGACUCACCUCAACCCCUCCUAGGAUGAAUGUGUGCCCUCCAGAGAUUUGGUCCCAACACCUGGCAGAAGCCCUUGCCAACACGCCAAAAGAUCCUCUUCCCCAGUCGAACAGAAGGCAUUCUGCCAGCUUUGGAAAAAGCCCCCCUCUCCCCAAACACACCGACCCCACUCACUGUCCAGUCUGAAACUCAGCCCUCCCCAGCUGUGGUCCCACCGCCUGGCAGAAACCUCUGCAAAGGGGCCAUGGUGCUGCUUGUCCCCAGUCUUAUCUCACCUCACUUCUCUUGAAAACCGGAGGGAACAGAUGCCUGACAUAAACCUCCAGCCUUCACCGUGGUGCCAGCAGCUGGGCAGGGCUGGCCAAGUCCCUACCUCUGGAAGAAGUCAGUCUAUGGGCUGACCAAUGACCACCUCACCCCUCUCAGCCCACUCUGCCCUCAGGCUGCAGCAACUGCCUGCCACAAGCAUUUGGAACUCCAGCCAAAGGCCCCAGGAAGAAACUCAGCUACCCUUAUGAAGGAAAAUUGUGAAACCCGACCAUCCUGUUCACGAAGAUGUGUAAAUUCAGAAUCAAGAAUUGCCAAUUGGGCAUGAAGUACCAGCCAGCCUUGGUCCCCAGGUCUCUGGCUCAUUGCAUAUCCUAAACAGUAUAGGUAUUGACUGUGAAAAAUUGAAUAAAAUUUUGUUUUAAUUUUAUUUUUUGUAGUGUUUAGUAAAUUUAUUUUAAAUAAGGAUUGCUCUAUGAAUCCUGUUGGGAAAGAAAAACCAGAGCAAAAGGGAAUAACCAUGGGAGAGAGAAAAAGAAAAAAGAAACAGCAUAUACUGUUUUACAUUCUUUCUCUGUAGUUCUUUUUCUGAAUGCAGAUGACAUUUGCUUCCCAAAGUCUAUUGGAAUUGCUUGGAUCACUAAAGCACUGAGGAGAAACAAUUUUUUCCUAGCUCAUCAAGACAAAUUCUUGCGAUUAUUUUGUCCAAAGUAUUCUUCCUUCUGCUUGUUCGAGUCGGCAUCAGUUCUUGUAAAUCUGUCCAGGCCUUUCUCAAAUGAGCUUCUUCAUCCUUUCUUAUAUAAUGCUAAUAUUUCCUCACCUUCAUAUCCAGCCACAUCUUGUUCAGCCAUUCUCCACCUGAUGGACAUCUACUGAUUUUCCAUCACUCUUCAAAAAGAUUUCCAAUGUGGAUCAUAACUCUACUGGUGGUUAUUGUUUAUAUUGUCAAAGGUGAAAAUCUAUGCAAGCAAGAAGAAAGGGGAACAACUGACCAUUCAACCUCAUUCUCUUCUGAAAUGAUCAAACGAAGGAAGAUUCAUACACAUUCAACUGGGUACAGAAAUUCAUUUCACUUAAGAAGGCAACAUGAAGGAAAAAGAGGGGACAAGAGGAAGGUAAAGAAAAGGCAGACUAAGGUAUUAUGGUGUUGGUUGUGGCGUUCAUUCCUUUCAAUCUUGGUGAUGACUCCCUGUGAUCCCUGAAGUAUGUUGUGGGAACAAACAAUCUGAGUUCUUAGGAACCAUUACCUUUAUGGGCAUGAUCUGCUCCUAGUGGCUUACUUUUGAUGUUACAUGAACAGCUGACCCCUGUUGCCAGGAAAACACUUCUCAUGAGACAUUGGGUGGUGAAGUGGAGAGAAUACCACACCUGAAAUCAGGAGGACCUGAGUUCCUCCCCCAAUAUCCUGCGUAGCAUACCGAAAUCAUAAUAGAAAUCUGGAUUAGGCCUUAAAGUCCUAAUCAAAUACGGCAAACUUAGAAAAUAAGACAAAAGGAAUUUAUUAAUACUUCAAGGGAGUAAUAUACAUUGAAUUGAAUCUGUGCUGCCUCUUUUAUGGAGAGGGUGAACAAUUUCCACAUAAAAGACCAUUUUGUUUGCUUCACUUUACAAAUGAGGAGAUGGUUUAGUCCUACCUCAUUUAUUGAUUGAUCCACAUUUUAAAUGAAAAAAGCAAAUUAGUGAGUAUGUGCCAUCACUAUCUUAUGUAGACUACCUGCCUCAUAUUGAAAGUUAAAAGCAAAGUUUUCAAAAUAGAAUCUCUCAAGAUGGACUCAACAGAAAUCUCUGACUUUCAUUUGGUUACACUAAGUAUUUCACAGUAAAGUAGUAUUUGUAAGUUUCUUUUUUUGUCUUUUUAUUUUGAAUGGUAUUUUAUUUUUCUAAAAACAUGUACAAAUACUACUUGGCAUUCAUUUCUGCAAGAAUUUGGGUUCUAAAUUUUUCAUCUUCCCUCCUUUCCUCAUCCCUAAGAUAACAAGCAAUAGGUAUGAUUCAAUAUAAACAAUGCUUUUAAACAUAUUUCCACAUUUCUCAUGUUAUGAAAGAAAAAUCAAAGCAACAGGGAAAAUAACUACCAGAAAGAAACAAAUAAAUGGAAAAAAUGAAAAUACUAAGCUUUUGGUCCACAGUCAGUCUCAAUAAUUCUGAUACUUGAGGUGGAUGGCAUUUUCCAUCCUAAAUCUAUUGGAACUGGUGUAAAGUAUCAUUUUUUUAUGAAUAAACUGAAAUAAAAAUACAUAAUAAAACAUAAAUAAUACAAAUGUAUAUAAAUAUACUAUUAAUCAACGUAAAUACAUUUGAUAAAUGAAAAAUCCCAAUAGUAUAUCAUGGUAUGUAUCCUAAAGAGCAAACAGAGGUGGGGAGUAGAUAUUACAGUAUGCUUUCACUCUACCAAUUUAUAUAUGUUAGUUUUAUUGUUAAGUGUCACGUGUCACUUGCUUAGAACUUUAUUUUAUUGAAUUAUUACAAUACUACAUAAGUAGCUUAUUUCUAUUUGGGUUUUUUUUGAAUAUUUCCUACAUUUAAUCAAGCCACUGAUUAGGUAUAAGUAUAAGAUGUAUGAAAAGGCUUGUGACCAUUUUUUAAACCUGGAAACUAAGAAUCAUCCUGAUUUUAGAAGUGGUCAUUACCCCCCAAAAAAACACACACUAAAAGGUUAAAGAACUCGAUAAUUGCAAGGUGAUUUAUAGCAAAUCAUUUAGCCAACAGUGCAUGAAGUACAUCUAUUGGAUAAUUUCCAAAUGUAGAAAGGCUCAAAGUAAGAGGUACAACUUGAGAACUACUCUGCAUACCUCCUUCCAAAAAGCAGGACUUGUUCAAGAGAAGAGAAGAGCAAUGGUUUCUUGCACGGGUAGCAGAGGGCAGAAGGAGAGAAGAGAGAGAGUCAUGCUCUUCCCCUCCCCUUGACUAGAUAAUAGCCUUGUGAACUUUAAAGAUCUGCAGCAGUGGCAUCCACCAGAUCAGGAACUAUAAAAGUGACUAUUAGCCACAUCCAUAUCGAGAACUGAGAAGCACUUUGAAGUGAAAGUGGAUACACCGAGGAAAGUCCUGCAGAACAUUCUACCUUAUGGGAGACAUUGUGAGGACUCCCCAAAGAGAGAAAAAGAUUUCCAAUCAUCAGGAGUGCUAAAUUUACUGCUUAUGAUAUCACUUUAGUAAAUACCUAUAUUUUUGGAGGCAGUCAGAGUUGUGUUUUGCCCAGAGUCACACAGCUAAUAAGUCUGAAGCUACACUGAGCUAGGUCUUCCUGACUCUCUAUCCACUGAAUCAUCCAGCUACCCCAGAAAUACAUAUUUUCUAAAGGCGAAGUGAAUCUGAUUGGCUUGUAAUUAAGGGGAAGCUCAUGAAGUUAGUAUUAUCAAACUCCUCCCAAGACCUUAACAUUAAUACUAGAAGGUUCAAGGGAGAAGUAGUCAACCAUCUUCUGAUAAUCUCAUCCACAUUCUCUGGGGUUUGAGAGCAUGAACCCAGAGAGGGUGCUUCACCAUGGAUGAAACAAGCAGGUUGAAGGAAAUAAUUUAGAUUAAAAAAAGGAAAACACUUAAGAGAAGAGCCAACUCCGGGUCAUGUAUAGGAGAAACAUAUAGCUCACAGAAGCUAGGUUUGCUCUAACAGAAAGAAACGAUUCUCCUAGCCUGAAGCUAGUGUCCCUGAACCAAACCAAGAAAAAUCAUGUGGGGCAAAACUGAGGUUAGAUACAUCAGAGGGAAGGGACAACUUUUCUCUUGAAGGAUCAGGUCUUCCUGGGGAGCAGUGUUGAAAAACCUAGCCUCAUACAAUAUACCUAUGUGUCAGUAGCAACAUAAUUCACAAGCAAUAUUUUGGUGCCAAUAAAAUAGCGGGCCAAGUAUAUGCUGCAUUCACUGAAUCCUACAUUUCCAUAUGAAAGGAGAAGUCUAAUGUUGUGAUUUUAUGUGAAUUACAUAGAAGAGAUGGUUAGAGUCCCACAAUAAGAUCUGAAAGAUAGAAAGUACAAUGAUUUAAUAUAUCGCAAAAUAAUAACUCAAUUGGACAGUGGAGAAUGUAUGCAAAAUCAAUCAUACUUUGAAGAACUGAUAAUAAAUUCACACAACGAAUUACAAAACGAAUAACAUGAACUUCCCACCCCUAAGUAGCUCAAUAACAGACUCUGAAGCUCUAUAGGAAAAGAGAGGCAAAGCAAGGCAGUAAAAGCGUUAUUCAUGAAUUAAUAUUACCAGAUGAGUAUCAGGAAAGGAAAACUGGCCUUCAAUUAAAAAAACAUGGAGAAGGAGAUUAUACACAGGUUAGAUGCCUAAUGAAGAGAAUGUAACACUGCUGAUAUAAGACUGAACCCUUCAAGACCAAUACAGGACAGACAAAAGAAAUGGCCAGAAAAAGGAGACAGACGAGGCUAGGGAAUGUUAACCCAAAUCCCCCAAAUAGGAAUCAAGACAAUUCUUAGAGGCAGGGCGAAGAUGGCAGAUUCCAGGAAGCAAUUCAGCAGAACGCUCUCAAAUUUCCCUUCUAAACAACAUGGAAAUCAUUCCAUCAAAUUUUGGAACAGCAGAGUCCAUAAAAGGUUGGGAGGAGACAUUUUUCCAGUAGAAGACAACUUAGAAAGUCAGCAGGAGAAUAUGUGACACAGAGGUGGGGGCCAGCCAAGAACCCAUGCUCUGGGCAGCAACCAGUGUGGAGUCUUAGGAGUGGCUACAACAGCCACUGCAGUAGUUUUAGGAGCUCUCAGGUCAGAGACAGUAAGGGGAGAGACAGACAGACUAAUCAGAAGGUGAUUACAGGGCACUCUUGGCUGGCCCUGGCUACAGCUGGCAGUAAUUGGCGACACUACUUCCCAGAUGCACUUCUGGGACCCAGUUCUAGAGUGGAGAAGAGCGCUUGCGGUCAGUCACAAAGGACCAGUUGCCUGAUGUUACGGGGGAGAAGGGGACCUUGAUUCCUUCCUGGGUAGCGACAGAGCACAGACCAAGAGAGCAAAGGCAGAGCAAGAGAGCAUCCUAUCCCCAGAUCACACCCCUGUGGAAGUCCUGAAAACUUGCAAACUCCCAGAACUAUGAAAAGAGCAUUUGACAAAAAUCUUAUAUUGAGGACAAGGUCUUCCCAUCUCCAGGUGACUAGUGAUCAACUUUAACAUAAAGUUCAAAGUCAACAAAUAGGCUGGAAAAAAUGAGUAAACAAACAAACAAAAAAGACCAUGAAAAGCUACUAUGGUAGCAGGGAAGACCUGAGGCAUGAUCUCAGAAGAUAACAACAAUGUGAAAAUAACUGCAAGCCAAGGCCUGAAAGGAAAAUGCUAGUUGAGCACAAGCCCAACCAGUAUUCCCAGAAGAGUCACUGAAAGUGAUACUAGUGUUAGAUGGAAAUUUGUGAAAUGAAAUCGAAAUGCAAUAAAUUAUGAAAAAAGAACUCACCAUUUCUUAAAAGAAAAUAACACCUUAAAAAAGCAAAAUUGACCUAAUGGUAAAAGAGGCACAAAAAUUCACUGAUAAAAAGAACUUUUUCAAAAGCAGAAUUGGCCCAAUGGGAAAAGAGGUACCCAAGUUCCAUGAAGAAAUUAAUUCCUUAAAAAUUAGAAUUAGGCAAAUGGAAGCGAAUGACUCCAUGUGAUAUUAAGAAACAAGAAAAGAAAGUCAUAACCAUGUGAAAAAUCUCAUUACACAAACCAUGUGAUUUGGAAAAUAGGUCAAGGAGAAAUAAUUUAAGAUUACCUAAAAACCAUAAUUGAAAAAAUAGCCUCGACAUCAUUUGUUGAGAAAUGAUAAAGAAAAACUGCUCUGAUAGCUUAGUUCCAGAGAGUAAAAUAGGAAGGAAAAGAAUCCACUAAACACCUCCUGAGAAAAGAUCGCCAAAUGAAAACUCCCAGGACUAUUGAGCCAUAUUCUAGAGCUCCCAGGAGCUCUUAUUGCAAGAAAGAGAAUUUAUUGCAAGCAUCUAGAAAGAAACCCUUAAAAUAUCAUGUUGCUACAGUCAGAAUCGCACAAGAUUUAGCAGCUUCCAUGUUAAAGAAGCAGAGACUUUAGAAUAUUUCAGAAGACAAAGGAGCUAGGAUUACUAGCAAGAAGAACUUACUCACCAUAACUAAGCAUAAUUCUUCAGGAGAAAAAAAAUCAAUGCUGAAUAAAAUAGCAAGUUCUCAUCAGAUAUUCCUGAUCAUAAAAACAGAUCUGAAUAGAAAAUUUGACAUUUAAACACAAAACUCAAGAGCAACAAAGGUAAACAUGAAAGAAUAAUCUUAAGGGAUCCAAUAAAAUUAAAGUAUUUACAUUUUAUAUGGAACUCCUAGGAACUUUAUUCUUAGGGUAUUUAGAACGAAUCUACAUAGUUAGGGAACAAAGGUGUGUUGGUUAUUAGGCUGACCUCAAAAAAAAAUGAAAGGGUAAAAAGGAGAGAUGUCCUUGGAUGUACUCGCAGAUGUACUGCCCUAGAAAGAGGGCAGAGAAAGAGGGAUGCACUGGGAGAAAGAAAACAGGAAAGGAAAAAUGAGGAAAAUGUCCUCAUUUUAAAAAAGAGCUCAAAAAAGACCUUUAAAAUUUUUAAUAGGUUUUUGAUUUCCAAGAUAUAACAUUCACGCUUGCAAAACCUUGUGUUCCAAAUUUUUCUCCCUCUCUUCCCCCUCCCCUUUCCCCCAAACAGCAAGUAAUGCACUAUAGUUUUAACAUGUGCAACUCUUCUAAACAUAAUUCCAUAUUUAUCAUGCUGCAUGAGAAAAAUCACAUCAGAAAAGGGAAAAAAUUGUUUAAGUUAAAAAAAAAAAGCAAAUAAUGGUUCUCUGCUGUGAUCCAUAUUCAGUCCCCACAGUCCUCUUUCUGGAUGUAGAUGGCUUUCUCUAUCACAAGUUUAUUGGAGUUAGCCUGAAUCACUUCAAUGUUGAAAAGAAUUAAGGCCAUCACCUCUGAUAAUCACAUCUUCUUGUUGUGGCUAUGAAUAGUUCUCUAUUCUAAUCACUUCACUUAGCAUCAGUUCAUGCAAGUCUCUAGGCCAAUCUGAAAUCAUCCUGCUGAUCCUUUUGUAUAGGACCAUAAUAUAAUAUUCCAUUACUUUCCUAUACCAAAACUUAUGCAGUCAUUCUCCAACUGAUGGGCUUCCACUCAAUUUCUACUUCCUUGACACUACAACAGGGGCUACUAUCAACAUUUGUGCACAUGUGUUUCCUUUUCCCUUUUUAGGAUAUCUUUGGAAUAAACACUCAUGCUGGAUCAAAAGGUUUGCACACUUUAAUAGCCCUUUGGGUUUAGUUCCAAAUUGGUCUCCAGAAUGACUGGGCCCGUUCACUACUCCCCCAAGCAUGUAUUAGAGUCCCAGUUUUUCCAAAACCCUCUAACAUUUAUCAUUAUCUGUUCCUGUCAUCUUAGUCAAUGGAGAGCUUUUAUAGUAGAGGAGAAGGGGAAAGGGGAUGUCAGGCAACAUUUGAAGCUCAUUUUCAUUUAUAUUGAUUCAAAGAGGGAAGACUAUAUGGACAGACUCAUUGGGGAUAGAAAUCUAUCUUUCCCAAGAAAGAAUUGGAAGGGAAAAGCAAAAAUGAGAAAAAGGACCAAAGAUGAUGAAAGAAGAGCAUGGGUUAAGGAAGGCAAUGGCCAGAAGUAAAACAUCUUUGAAAGGAGAAUGAGAUUUAUUUUUAAAUAGAGCAAAGGAUAAACAAAACAAAACAGGUUUGAGGGCAAUACAUUGUUAUAAUCAAAGUUAAAGAUGUGGAAUGUUCUGUAAUUUGAAGUGACCAUUGUGUUAUCAUUAUUCUAUAAGACAAAUAUGAGAAAACAGUACUAUUGAAAGGGCUUCAACUUGGAAGACUGUAGGCAAAAAGUAUUUUUUCAAAUCUAGGCUACAUGAGAAAUUUCCCUAGGAAGUGGAAAAUACUGCACAUACUGUGCCUCUGGCACGUCAACCCCCCUAGUCUAUGAGUGGAGUAUUGCCACUAAAUGGAAUCAGUUCUAGGCUGUUCAAGACAUUUUAAAUAACUCCACACUUUUAUUAUCUGUGCAGCAAGUGCAGAGUUCUCUAGAAGAAUAGAGGCAAAUGGUGAGAGCCUCCAUGACAAAAGCAUUAGCACAUAUGUUGCUGGGGUCCCCAGCUAGUGCAGACCUGCUGACCCCAACUGGUGCCCGAGCACUUAGCCAAUUAUCAUCUUCUCUACGACCUCCGGAGAGGGACGUCUCCGUCCCUGGUUAUGACGGAGUCAUUCUGACAUCCUUUAUGAAGUUAAAAAAGCUUUAUUGCUUGGCUCCAUCAUCUUGUCUGUCCUCCUGCUUCCUCUCUCUCGUGCUUCCCUACAUCCCUGCUCCCGGGCUUCCCUGCUUCUCCCCUCUCCCUCUGCUGCCCUGUUCCUAUGCCCCUCUCAUCUCCCCCGCCAACGUGCCCCAGCAACAAGUAGGUCUUUAGCUUGUUCAUGAAGGAGCCCAACUCCUGAGAUGGUGGAAGCGAUCUCCAUUUGGUGCAUGCUCAAUGCCUGGCCAGGCCUGGCUACCGAGUGUCUACCCCGGGCCUGCAGCCAGUGAGGCAGAACUCACACCCGGGGCCUCAACAUCCAUUCCCAAGACUGAGCUGAGGAGAUCUAAACAGCCAAAGACCACAAGGGUCAAGUUUACACAAGACUUGUCUUUGCACAGACUUGUUGCUUAUGCAAAUGGGGUAUUGUGUGCAAGCUACAUGAUGAAGGGUCUCCAGAUUAAUGCAGACUCUUGGUAUUCUGUUCCCUAGCCUUCUUCUUGCUAGGUACUCUAGCAAUAUAGUUUGUAGGUUUUACAUAUAUAUGCAUUUUUUCCAUAUUUCCAUAUGAGUCUCCACAUGAGAAUUGAGGAGAGAAAAUUCAGAAAAAAGGGAAAAUCAAGAGGAAAAAAAAGGAGAAGGUGAAAAUGGUAUGCUGCUAUCUGCAAUCAUCCCCAUGGUUCUCCCUCUGGAUGUGGGCCAUUUUCCAUCCAAAAUUGAUUGGAAUGGCUUUGGAUCACAGAUUUUCUGAGAAGAGCCAAGUCUACCAUAGUUGAUUCUCAUGCAAUCUUGUUGUUGCUUUGUAAAAUGUAUUCUACUUGCUUCACUCAGCAUCAAUUCAUGUAAAUCUUUCCAGGCUUUUCUAGCAUCACAUAAGCCUGCUCAUCAUUACUGUGUGGAAUGGAGAGAUAAAGUGAAGAAGUUACAGGAAUGUUUAAAUACUUUUUCUGUAUUUUUUAUUAUGUCUAUGUCUCUGUGACCUGCCUAAGUCAGGUGUGUGCAAGUCAAUAUUUACUUAAAACUUUAGAUAUCUUUACUUAAGCAGAAAUGAUGACAUUUAUCCUUGUUCAAUGUUAUCAAUAUUUAGAUUAUUCAAAGCCAUCAGCUCAGUAAUCUGAAGUUUGAAGGCCUGACUGAUGAUUCCUCUCAGAAUCAGGGAAACAAAGCAUUCUGUUCUCAUCUGCCUUUGGCACCAAUGGUUCACAUUCAAUUAGGGGAGAAGGCAUCUAUUUCUCAAUGCUCCCCAACCUAUGAUGUAUUCCUUUGCAACCAAACCUAUAAAAUCCAUAUAUCUUUCCUAAUUCUUUAGCCCUUCUACUGGGAGCUUUCUCUUUCCCUCCUCGCAGUGGAAUUGCUCAUUCUCAUGAGAACUUAUUAAUCAAUAACUUUUCUGCUUUCUACUGACUGAUCUCUGAGUAGUCAUUUUGGCUAAGGGACUUCUUCAUCCCUCACAUUACUUUAAUAUAUCAUAAUUUAUUCAGCUAUUUCCCAAUUGUUAGGCAUGUACUCAUUUUACAUUUUCUUUGCCACCACAAAAAGAGCUGAUAGGAAUAUUUUGUUCAUAUAUAACUUUAUUCAAGUUUUAUCAUUUUGGGGGAGAAGCAGCACUGGUGUAUCCAAAGUUUUUCAAAGGCACAUUUUUAUAAGCCUUUGGGCACAGUUUCAAAUUGGUCUCCGAAAGGGUUGAAUCACUUCACAAUUCUACCCACCAGAUCAUUGGUUAUUUUCACCUAGGGAGGAAGGAAGGAAGCAAGAAUGGAGGGAGAGAGGAAGGAAUAGAGAGAAGGAGGGGGAGAAAGAAGAAAAAGAUACAAUUGCAUGGAGAUUUCUGGCUUUUGAGCAGGAGAAAUAAAAUGGGACCAAAAAAUCAUGGCAAGAUCUGGAAGUUAUCAGAACUCUCUUAUUAGACAACCAGUGGAUCUCAGAGGUGGAUUCAUGCAAGGCUCCUAUCAAAUUCUUAAGGCAGAGGAAAACAAAAAGUUUUAGCUAGAUUUAUCAGUGCCAUGCAAAUUUAAGGUGGAAUCAGAAUCAGAAAAUCAAUAAGCAUUUACUAAGCCUAGGCAUCUUGCUAAGUGUUGAGGAUACAAAGAAAGAUACAAAGGUUCAUAAGGCAGUCUAUGUGCUCAAGGAAAUAAUUGUCUAAUAGGAAAAAGCACACAAAAAAGCUGAAAAGUUGGGGAGGGAGGGAUAAGGAGAAAAGAAGAAGGUAGGUCCAAAUGUCUACCCUCCCAGAGAAGGGGGGGGCUUCUGGAGCAAAAGGUGCUGAAGAGGAGUGAGUUUCAGCAUGGAUUCCAUUUUGCACAAUGGAAAUGAUGAAAGAGCUGACUGGGAGUUUUGUUGAAUGGUUUGACAUUGAGAUCAUUUUAAA
RNAcentral lists this long non-coding RNA (12491 nucleotides) under Sarcophilus harrisii (Tasmanian devil). Its description in RNAcentral is "lncRNA (ENSSHAG00000023454.1)". The record is from RNAcentral. Lineage: Eukaryota; Metazoa; Chordata; Mammalia; Dasyuromorphia; Dasyuridae.